Lemur catta (Ring-tailed lemur) is the source of this 102-nucleotide small nuclear RNA. NCBI's taxonomy places the organism in Eukaryota, Metazoa, Chordata, Mammalia, Primates, Lemuridae. The record is from RefSeq and is a predicted model, not a curated record.
GUGCUCGCUUUGGCAAUACACAUACGAAAAUUGGAAUAACAGAGAUUAGCAUAGCCCCCACACAAGGAUGACACGCAAAUUUAUAAAGCAUUCCAUAUUAAA